GGAUGAACGUUGGCGGCGUGCCUAAUACAUGCAAGUCGAACGAAGACUGUAGUAAUACUGUCUUAGUGGCGAACGGGUGAGUAACGCGUGGGUGACCUGCCCCGAAGUGUGGGAUAACAGUUCGAAAGAACUGCUAAUACCGCAUAAUAUCCAAGAGAUUAGACGCUUUUGGAUUAAAGGAGUAAUUCGCUUCGGGAGGGGCCCGCGUCCCAUCAGCUAGUUGGUAAGGUAAUGGCUUACCAAGGCGAUGACGGGUAGGGGACCUGAGAGGGUGGCCCCCCACAAUGGAACUGAAACACGGUCCAUACACCUACGGGUGGCAGCAGUAGGGAAUAUUAGUAAUGGGCGAAAGCCUGAACUAGCAACGCCGCGUGUGCGAAGAAGGCCUUCGGGUCGUAAAGCACUUUUUGAGAGGAUGAGGAAGGACGGUACUCUCAGAAUAAGUCUCGGCUAACUACGUGCCAGCAGCCGCGGUAACACGUAGGAGGCAAACGUUAUCCGGAUUCAUUGGGUUUAAAGGGUGCGUAGGCGGGCUAUUAAGUCAGUGGUGAAAUCCUGCAGCUUAACUGCAGAACUGCCGUUGAUACUGAUAGUCUUGAGUUUGGUUAAGGUAGGCGGAAUGUGUAAUGUAGCGGUGAAAUGCUUAGAUAUUACACAGAACACCAAUUGCGUAGGCAGCUUACUGAGCCGACACUGACGCUGAGGCACGAAAGCGUGGGGAUCAAACAGGAUUAGAUACCCUGGUAGUCCACGCCGUAAACGAUGAUUACUCGCUGUUGGCGAUACACUGUCAGCGGCUAAGCAAAAGCAAUAAGUAAUCCACCUGGGGAGUACGGCCGCAAGGUUGAAACUCAAAGGAAUUGACGGGGGCCCGCACAAGCGGAGGAACAUGUGGUUUAAUUCGAUGAUACGCGAGGAACCUUAUCUGGGCUUAAAUGUAGAGUGCAUUUUCUAGAGAUAGAAAUUCCCUUCGGGGCUUUCUGCAAGGUGCUGCAUGGUUGUCGUCAGCUCGUGCCGUGAGGUGUCGGGUUAAGUCCCAUAACGAGCGCAACCCUUAUCGUUAGUUGCCAGCUGGUAAAGCAGGGGACUCUAGCGAAACUGCCACCGUAAGGUGAGAGGAAGGUGGGGAUGACGUCAAAUCAGCACGGCCCUUAUGUCCAGGGCUACACACGUGUUACAAUGGCCGGUACAGAGGGCUGCUACCUGGUGACAGGAUGCUAAUCUCGAAAACCGGUCUCAGUUCGGAUCGAAGUCUGCAACUCGACUUCGUGAAGCCGGAUUCGCUAGUAAUCGCGCAUCAGCAACGGCGCGGUGAAUACGUUCCCGGGCCU
Molecule: ribosomal RNA, 1331 nt
Filed under: uncultured bacterium
Lineage: Bacteria
Description: bacterial SSU rRNA
Rfam family: Bacterial small subunit ribosomal RNA
Source: RNAcentral